CACCCUCCAGACCAUGGGAGAAAGGGUCUGCAAGUGGGGCCGGUGAGACCCAACACACUGGGCUGAGCUAGUGGGACAUCGUCGCCUCCAGGGCCAGGAGGUGGUCGCCGAACAAACCCCUUUUCUACCCUCCUUCGGAGUUUCCCAGAACCUCGAUGAAAUGACGGAAUAUGAGUGUGACUUGGCUGAACCAGGUGUCCUUACCCCUGUGAGGAGCGGUGAGGAGAGGAAGAUUGUCAGCUUGCAAAUAUGCAUUCAUGUCACAAUUGGAGUAAGGAGGCAGAAAUGAAGAAAAUUGAAAUACAAGUAAGUGAACUGAGUCAUUGGAGAGCAUG
Long non-coding RNA from Neogale vison (American mink), 335 nucleotides. RefSeq lists it as uncharacterized. The record is from RefSeq and is a predicted model, not a curated record. The transcript is spliced from 3 exons. NCBI's taxonomy places the organism in Eukaryota, Metazoa, Chordata, Mammalia, Carnivora, Mustelidae.